RNAcentral lists this ribosomal RNA (460 nucleotides) under uncultured bacterium. Its description in RNAcentral is "partial 16S ribosomal RNA". It matches the Rfam family "Bacterial small subunit ribosomal RNA", at positions 338 to 795 of the family's 1533-position model. The record is from RNAcentral.
CCUACGGGGGACAGCAGUGAGGAAUAUUGGUCAAUGGACGAGAGUCUGAACCAGCCAAGUAGCGUGAAGGAUGACUGCCCUAUGGGUUGUAAACUUCUUUUAUAUGGGAAUAAAAUGUUCCACGUGUGGGAUUUUGUAUGUACCAUAUGAAUAAGGAUCGGCUAACUCCGUGCCAGCAGCCGCGGUAAUACGGAGGAUCCGAGCGUUAUCCGGAUUUAUUGGGGUUAAAGGGAGCGUAGGUGGAUUGUUAAGUCAGUUGUGAAAGUUUGCGGCUCAACCGUAAGAUUGCAGUUGAAACUGGCAGUCUGGAGUGCAGUAGAGGUAGGCGGAAUUCGUAGUGUAGCGGUGAAAUGCUUAGAUAUCACGAAGAACUCCGAUUGCGAAGGCAGCUCACUGGACUGCAACUGACACUGAGGCUCGAAAGUGUGGGUAUCAAACAGGAUUAGAUACCCUAGUAGUC